AAAAUGUGCUCAUCUUCUCCAUGGUGAACGAAAAUAGCAAGGGGGAAGCCAUAGUUAGGGUUUUCAAGCUUCCAAGCUCCAUAGUAAGUGAUUCCAAGCCCCGUUUUAAAUGUUUUUUUACGUUUUUGGAGUCCCGAUAACUUGAUUUAGCUUAUUCUAGCAAUAAUUUAACCUAGGGUUUAUAUUUGGAAAAAUACUCAUAGGUGAAAUGUGUUUAUUUUUAUGUUUUAUGGUAGAAUAUGAAGCUUGAAAUUAUGUUAAACAACUUUUGCUAAGCGAUUUUAAGUGAAAACGAGUAAAACGACAUAAUCGGUAAAAAUACCUAAUGUUCAUAAGUGUUAGAGUAAGAAUUUGAUGUUGUCAUAGAAGGGAAAAAUGUUCAGCAUGUUAUAAAGCAUAAGAAAAAGAGAUGAAGUUAAAUUUCCAAGCUUUGGGGCAAAAGUAUAAUUAUGCAAAAGUUUAGGGGCAAAAUCAUAAUUUUUCCAAAGUUCGAGUCAAUGAUUGUUUUGAUGAAUGUGAGUAUUAAAUAAGCUAAAUUUGCUAUUAUAGAUCAAGAAGAACGAAAUUCGGAGUUAGACUGGGGGAAGAAAAAGAUAGAGGAGUAAGUUGCUAGAUUUGGUCAAAUUUUGUACCGAGGUAAGUUUACGGUAAAUAAAUGCAAUAUUUCAAUAAUUAUUAUUAAUACUGCUAUUUCCCAGCAAUUAUGUAUUUAUUUCAUGAAAUUAUUUAAUGUUGACUCAAGUAUGAGAUGACAAAGAAUCAGUGAUAAAAGCCCCGUUGAAACAUUAGGAGUGUAUUGGAUACAAAUGUCAUGACAUUUGGGUAAAGAGAUCCCAUAUAAGACCAUGUCUGGGACAUGGCAUUGGAAUCCUUGAGAUCAUGAGAGGUCCCAUGUAAGACCAUGUCUGGGACAUGGUGUUGGCACCGAGACGAGAGGUCCCAUGUAAGACCAUGUCUGGGACAUGGCGUAGGCACCGAGAUGAGAGGUCUCCCGUAAGACCAUGUCUGGGACAUGGCAUGGGCAUCGAUAUGAGAACUCCCAUGUAAGACCACAUCUGGGAUAUGGCAUUGGCAGUACAAAAAACAUCCCAUGUAAGACCAUGUCUGGGACAUGGCUUUGGCAUGUUAUUAUCAGAUAUGAGACCCAAGUAUCAUUUAUAUUCUAAUGUGGCUCAACGGGCUAGAAAAUAGAUUAUGUUCUAUGAAAGUUCAAGUAAAAGUAUAAUUAGCAACUUCAGGUGAGUUAUAAGAGUUAAGAAUAUGUUAUGAUAUCAGUGAGAACCAAUAUUUCAGCAAGAGAAGAGUAAGUUGUAAUCUUAAGCUAUCUAAAUAGGUAAGUAAAUAAACAAGUAAAUGAGAGUAAGUAAAGAGGAAACUUAAGAACAUGAUACUUGCAUAUCAUUAUUUGUGUUAAAUGUUGUUAUUUAUUUCCUUGUAAACUUACUAAGCUCUAUGCUUACUUCGUUUAUUUAUUUUUCUUUCAUAUAGUAUUAUCAAGCAUAGUCGGGAUCUUGAAGACGUCGGAGAGCGUUCACACUAUCAACCACCACAACUCGAUAUUUUAAGACGAUAAAUGUUUCGAGCUAUGGCAUGUAUAGGGACUUAGUCAUUUCGAUUGUUUAUUCUUAAAUUAUGACCAAAAGAUGUUAUGUAAAUAUUUGAUGAUGAAUAGUUAUUAAAAUGGCUAAGUAUGAAGGUGUUUGUUGUUAUAAAGUCUAGGUGAUAAAUUAUGCAUAGAAAUCAUGAAAAAGUAAAAAUUGGCAGUGAAUCAGUUUUGAGACAGCAGUAGUGACGUGAUUUUGAAAAAUCAUCAAGGAUAGUA
This 1822-nucleotide long non-coding RNA is filed under the name Gossypium raimondii (Peruvian cotton). Its description in RNAcentral is "long non-coding RNA (GRAI_LNC000815)". The record is from RNAcentral. Lineage: Eukaryota; Viridiplantae; Streptophyta; Magnoliopsida; Malvales; Malvaceae.